This is a long non-coding RNA of Ricinus communis (castor bean), 2131 nucleotides long. RefSeq lists it as uncharacterized. The transcript has 2 exons. NCBI's taxonomy places the organism in Eukaryota, Viridiplantae, Streptophyta, Magnoliopsida, Malpighiales, Euphorbiaceae. The record is from RefSeq and is a predicted model, not a curated record.
AAAAGGAGUGAAUAAUUAAAGCUCUGGCUAAUUUGCAGUGGCGAGACGCUUAUGCUUCAAAGUGGACGGUAAAAGAUGCGCUGUUACCUCAAGUAAACUCACUGACGCCAUUCCACUGUAAGUGAACUGCAAAGGCCCAUCGACCAAAGGAAAAAAGAAAAACGAACUGCAAAGGAACUCUUUUCCACCAUUUUCCAGUAGGGUUUUUGGUCGCAGUUGAAUUCAAAGACUACCAUUUAUCAGCUUCUCAUAUCCGGGAAGAGAAGAUAUGGUUGCAGAGAACUAUAGUGCGUAUAUUUCCUCUUUUUGCUCGUAAAUUUCACAUGAGGAUUUAGAGGGUUAUAUGAAAUUGGUGGGGGGAAAAUUUGUUCCCUUUAUUUUAUGUUGUUUACUUCUUUGUAACAUCUCUACUGCUGAAGUUCCCUUGAUUUUAGGACUUUGUUAGACCAUUAGGCAGUAUAACUAUGGAUGUAUGCAAUUUCUUUUGAGUGUCUUUGGCCAGUUACCAGUAAACAAUGAGGGCAAAUUUGUUGUAUGCUAAGGAAAAAGAAUUUCACCUCCUUCAUGUUACCUAAAAUCUAUUCUAGAGAUAGCCAUAUCCCGGGAGAGACCUUGAAUAUCAACUACAAGUUGGUUGAAAUUGGAACCGAUUAGGUUGAAAGCCAUGGUGCUAAUACUUAAAGCAGUGAACCAAAUAUCUCUAAAUACUACAGGCCAAGCAGCUAGUAAGAAGUGUAAAGAGUGAGAGUUGUUGAAACUAGCAUAUUGAAAGUGAAUUUUAUUUUUCCAUUAGAGUAGGCUCUUACAUGUUCUGCAAUACUUCCUACGAAUAUUCCACUAAUAUGAAAUGUUUUUAAUGUUAGUUGAGUACCUCCCUCUCCGAUGGAUUGACUUGCAAUCAUACCUACGGCUUUCCUCAAUUCCACUAGAUCGCCAUGCGCCUAAGUUUACAUAUAGUAAUGUCUAUAUCUUACCAAAAACAAGUCAUUUAUGAUAUUAUCUGGAAAUUCGUGCAGAUCCAGUGUAGUUCCUUUUUCACUCCAUAAAAAUCAAGAUCAAAUGAAUGUUCAUUCUCUUUCUAUCAAAAGAAGAUACAUCUCUAGUCCUUUUGUAAAUAAUGAUCUUAGUUCGCAUUUCUUGCAUGAGUUUAUAUACCUAUUAUUUAUGAUAAGAAGUUUGUAUGUGUGGUGGCCAACCUUGCGAUGUCCACUCCAAGCAGGUUAUAAACUAGGAGAGAAUCUAACUGAUGGACAAGGAGUUCUGUAUGCCUUACAUGAUAACAGCUUAGUCUUUUGUCUUCGUCUUCCUUCCUUUCUCCCAGUUCUCUAUUACUUGCUUACUUGCUUACUAGCUUAUGGGUGGUAAGAUAUAUAGCUUCAAGGCAUUUUUUCUUCUUCUUUUUGGCGAAUACUCUUAUACAUUAUUUUCUAAGGAAGUUGCCAAUUCUUCUAUUUCAAUAGCCACUUCUUCUACAGGAACUGCUGCACCAUCUCUUCCGUUCAAUGCCAUGACAAUGCCUCUGUAAAAUCUCUUCCUGCGCUAGAAAGAGAAAAAAAUGGAUAAGCUACAUGCAAUUGCAAAACAAUGCACGAAAACAGCAUUUCAUUUCUGACAGAGAACGUCUGAUUGCAUAAUGCAUAAUACCUGCGGCGAAGGUAGUUUGUUGAUAAUGAAAUUGUGAUUUGUUAAUUUAAAAAUUCCAAGCCACAGAAUUGCUUACCGUGUAUGGUCAGUUGCUGAGCGCUGUUAAUUAGGUACUCUAGACACAGCGCGGAAAAUUGCCAACUGGAAGGGGAAAAAAGAGAAAAAGGAGUUCUGAUUCCAAGCAGAGGGGAGGAGUGGUCAUCUCAAUAUUUCUGGAGGCCAUUAUAUGAAAGUGGCAAUCAUAGAUUUAGAAAACCUAAAUAAGCCCAUCAGUGCCUUUAACAGUGCAUCAAAGGUUGCUUGAGUGUUGGGUUUCUACUUUAUUCUUGCUAUAUCAGUUGGUUUAGGCAUCUCUUUUUUUUUUUUUUUCCAUCAAUUACUCGAUAAAACAGGAGACCUUCCUAAACUUGUUCUAAAUAAUGGCUAUAUUAUCCGAUUUUAGACGGGAAUAAGAAAUACCAAUAAAAGUGAGAUUUAUAAUUUGUGU